CGCGAAACCUUUACACUGCACGCAAGUGGAAUAAGGGGACCCCGAGUGCGAGGGCAUACAGUCCUCGCUUUUCACCACCGUAAGGAGGUAGUGGAAUAAGAGCUGGGCAAGACCGGUGCCAGCCGCCGCGGUAAUACCGGCAGCUCGAGUGAUGGCCGAUCUUAUUGGGCCUAAAGCGUCCGUAGCCGGCCACACAAGUCCAUCGGGAAAUCCGCCAGCCCAACUGGCGGGCGUCCGGUGGAAACUGUGUGGCUCGGGAUCGGAAGACCCAACGGGUACGUCUUGGGUAGGAGUGAAAUCCCGUAAUCCUGGACGGACCACCGAUAGCGAAAGCACGUUGGGAAGACGAAUCCGACGGUGAGGGACGAAAGCCAGGGUCUCGAACCGGAUUAGAUACCCGGGUAGUCCUGGCCGUAAACGAUGUCUGCUAGGUGUGGCUCCCACUACGAGUGGGUGCUGUGCCGUAGGAAGCCGCUAAGCAGACCGCCUGGGAAGUACGUCCGCAAGGAUGAAACUUAAAGGAAUUGGCGGGGAGCACUACAACCGGAGGAGCUGCGGUUUAAUUGGACUCAACGCCGGACAUCUCACCAGCAUCGACAACAGUAAUGACGGUCAGGUUGAUGACCUUGCCAGAGUUGUUGAGAGGAGGUGCAUGGCCGCCGUCAGCUCGUACCGUGAGGCGUCCUGUUAAGUCAGGCAACGAGCGAGACCCGCACUCCUAAUUGCCAGCACCGGCUUCGGCCGGGUGGGUACAUUAGGAGGACUGCCGUGGCUAACACGGAGGAAGGAACGGGCAACGGUAGGUCAGUAUGCCCCGAAUGUGCUGGGCUACACGCGGGCUACAAUGGCCGAGACAAUGGGUUCCCACCUCGAAAGAGGGCGGUAAUCUCCUAAACUCGGUCGUAGUUCGGAUUGAGGGUUGAAACUCACCCUCAUGAAGCUGGAUUCGGUAGUAAUCGCGUGUCAGCAGCGCGCGGUGAAUACGUCCCUGCUCCUUCCAC
Molecule: ribosomal RNA, 1001 nt
Filed under: uncultured Halobacteria archaeon
Lineage: Archaea; Methanobacteriati; Methanobacteriota; Halobacteria
Description: bacterial SSU rRNA
Rfam family: Archaeal small subunit ribosomal RNA
Source: RNAcentral